UGCUAAGCUUUUAAUCAAUCAGGUUUCUUCCUUUCUUAUGGUCAACAACGCUGCCAAAUGGUGCAUAAGAAUAUUCAAGAAAAUGUGACUUGAAUUACUAAAAUUAGGAACAAUUAUUUUAUUUUGAUGAUUGAGUCAACAGUUUGUUGUGCUUGCGAAUGAAUUUAUAAAGUACCUUGCUAAUAAUUUCCUUCACAACUUGGAAACCUUAGGUGGACAGGA
This 222-nucleotide unclassified non-coding RNA is filed under the name Hevea brasiliensis (rubber tree). The record is from RNAcentral. Lineage: Eukaryota; Viridiplantae; Streptophyta; Magnoliopsida; Malpighiales; Euphorbiaceae.